Molecule: transfer RNA, 74 nt
Filed under: Carthamus tinctorius (safflower)
Lineage: Eukaryota; Viridiplantae; Streptophyta; Magnoliopsida; Asterales; Asteraceae
Description: tRNA-Met (CAT) (tRNA-Met-CAT-2-1)
Rfam family: tRNA
About the family: Transfer RNA (tRNA) molecules are approximately 80 nucleotides in length. Their secondary structure includes four short double-helical elements and three loops (D, anti-codon, and T loops).
Source: RNAcentral
GGGGUGGUGGCGCGGUUGGCUAGCGCGUAGGUCUCAUAAUCCUGAGGUCGAGAGUUCGAGCCUCUCUCACCCCA